Non-coding RNA from Bos taurus (domestic cattle), 73 nucleotides. The record is from Rfam. Lineage: Eukaryota; Metazoa; Chordata; Mammalia; Artiodactyla; Bovidae.
UCCCUGGUGGUCCAGCGGUUAAGACUCAGUACUUUCAUUGCUAUGGGUCUGGGUUCAAUCCCUGGUCGGAGAA